UCCGGUAUAGUGUAGGGGUUAACAUAACCCGCUUUCAAAAAGUCUCGUUUCUUUCUCUCUCUUGGAAAUAACUUGCCUUUUAGAGCCGGGUAGCCCCGGGUUCGAUUCCCGGUACCGGAA
Molecule: transfer RNA, 120 nt
Filed under: Pseudogymnoascus sp. VKM F-4513 (FW-928)
Lineage: Eukaryota; Fungi; Ascomycota; Leotiomycetes; Thelebolales; Thelebolaceae
Rfam family: tRNA
About the family: Transfer RNA (tRNA) molecules are approximately 80 nucleotides in length. Their secondary structure includes four short double-helical elements and three loops (D, anti-codon, and T loops).
Source: Rfam by way of RNAcentral